Molecule: ribosomal RNA, 499 nt
Filed under: uncultured bacterium
Lineage: Bacteria
Description: bacterial SSU rRNA
Rfam family: Bacterial small subunit ribosomal RNA
Source: RNAcentral
GACUUCCGCAAGGACACUCGUAGAGGUGCUGCAUGGCUGUCGUCAGCUCGUGUCGUGAGAUGUUGGGUUAAGUCCCGCAACGAGCGCAACCCUUGUCUGCUGUUGCCAUCAGGUAAUGCUGGGCACUCUGCAGAGACUGCCGGUGAUAAACCGGAGGAAGGUGGGGAUGACGUCAAGUCAGCAUGGCCUUUAUGUCUGGGGCUACACACGUGCUACAAUGGCCGAUACAAACCGUCGCAAAACCGCAAGGUGGAGCUAAUCGGAGAAAAUCGGUCUCAGUUCGGAUUGUAGGCUGCAACUCGCCUGCAUGAAGUUGGAAUCGCUAGUAAUCGCGGAUCAGCACGCCGCGGUGAAUACGUUCCCGGGCCUUGUACACACCGCCCGUCACAUCACGAAAGCCGGUUGUACUAGAAGUCGCCACAUCAACCCGCAAGGGAGAGAGGCGCCUAAGGUAUGGUCGGUGAUUGGGGUGAAGUCGUAACAAGGUAAGCGUAGUGCU